This 84-nucleotide transfer RNA is filed under the name Felis catus (domestic cat). It matches the Rfam family "tRNA". From Rfam's summary of the family: Transfer RNA (tRNA) molecules are approximately 80 nucleotides in length. Their secondary structure includes four short double-helical elements and three loops (D, anti-codon, and T loops). Lineage: Eukaryota; Metazoa; Chordata; Mammalia; Carnivora; Felidae. The record is from Rfam by way of RNAcentral.
ACCUGGGUGGCUCAGUCGGUUAAGCGUCUGAUUUUGGCCCAGGUCACGAUCUCACGGUUCGUGGGUUCGAGCCCACCUCGGGCU